GACGAACGCUGGCGGCGUGCCUAAUACAUGCAAGUCGAACGCAGUGGGGACGGGUGAGUAACACGUGGGUAACCUCCCAUCAGAGGGGAUAACACUUGGAAACAGGUGCUAAACCGAUACUGAUGGAUGGCCCAGCGUUGCUUUAGCUAGUUGGUGGGGUAACGGCUCACCAAGGCCACGCUGCAUAGCCGACCUGGGGGGGUGAUCGGCCACACUGGGACUGAGCCACGGCCCGGACUCCUACGGGAGGCAGCAGUAGGGAAUCUUCGGCAAUGGACGAAAGUCUUACCGAGCAACGCCGCGUGAAUGAAGAAGGUUUUCGGAUCGUAAAAUUCUGUUGUUAGAAAAGCGGUAUCUAACCAGAAAGCCACGGCUAACUACGUGCCAGCAGCCGCGGUAAUUC
RNAcentral lists this ribosomal RNA (403 nucleotides) under uncultured bacterium. RNAcentral's name for it is "partial 16S ribosomal RNA". It matches the Rfam family "Bacterial small subunit ribosomal RNA", at positions 28 to 526 of the family's 1533-position model. The record is from RNAcentral.